GUGCUUGCUUCGGCAGCACACUUACUAAAACGGUGGGGAUACAGAGAAGACUCACACGACCCUGCGUAAGGAUGACACGCAAAUUCACAGAGUUCUGUAUUUUU
Small nuclear RNA from Meriones unguiculatus (Mongolian gerbil), 104 nucleotides. NCBI's taxonomy places the organism in Eukaryota, Metazoa, Chordata, Mammalia, Rodentia, Muridae. The record is from Ensembl.